GAUGAACGCUGGCGGCGUGCCUAACACAUGCAAGUCGAGCGAUUUACUUCGGUAAAGAGCGGCGGACGGGUGAGUAACGCGUGGGUAACCUGCCCUGUACACACGGAUAACAUACCGAAAGGUAUGCUAAUACGAGAUAAUAUGCUUUUAUCGCAUGGUAGAAGUAUCAAAGCUCCGGCGGUACAGGAUGGACCCGCGUCUGAUUAGCUAGUUGGUAAGGUAACGGCUUACCAAGGCGACGAUCAGUAGCCGACCUGAGAGGGUGAUCGGCCACAUUGGAACUGAGACACGGUCCAAACUCCUACGGGAGGCAGCAGUGGGGAAUAUUGCACAAUGGGCGAAAGCCUGAUGCAGCAACGCCGCGUGAGCGAUGAAGGCCUUCGGGUCGUAAAGCUCUGUCCUCAAGGAAGAUAAUGACGGUACUUGAG
This 428-nucleotide ribosomal RNA is filed under the name uncultured bacterium. Its description in RNAcentral is "bacterial SSU rRNA". It matches the Rfam family "Bacterial small subunit ribosomal RNA", at positions 28 to 483 of the family's 1533-position model. The record is from RNAcentral.